This 934-nucleotide small RNA is filed under the name Plasmodium adleri (nom. inval.). RNAcentral describes it as "Plasmodium sp. gorilla clade G2 ncRNA". The record is from RNAcentral. Lineage: Eukaryota; Apicomplexa; Aconoidasida; Haemosporida; Plasmodiidae.
UUUUUGAUAUUGUGUGACUGCCAUAAUGUUUUUAUUUUAUAAUAUAUAUUAUUUUAUAUUUUAUGUAUAUAUAAUAUAUAUAUGUGAUAAAAAUAAUACACAUUAACUUUUCAUAAAAUUUUUAUAUGAUAAAAUAUUACAAAUGAAUAUAAUAACAAAAUUGUUAAAUAUUUUCUUCUAGAAAAUAUUUAAAUAAGAUAUUUAUUAACACAAAAAAAAAAAAAAAAAUAAAAUAAUAAAUAAAAUAUAUAUAUAUAUAUAUAUAUAUAUAUAUAUAUAUAUAUUUUUAACAAUUUAGGGGGGUAAAAUAUGUCAGUUUUAUGUCACACCUUAUUUAGUUUUUUUAAGGACCUUAGGAAUUUAUACAAACCAUAUACAGCAUUUUCUUUCUUUUUCUUCCCAUGUGCUAUAAAUAUGUAUGGAAUUAUAAAAUUUAAUAAUUCAGAUUACCAUAUAAAUAAGGACGUAACAGAUGCCAAUGCUUAUAUGAAAAGGACUGCCCAAGAAAAAUAAUACAAUGAAAUACGAUAGAAAUUAAACAUUAUGUUUUAAAUGGAAAUGAGGAAGGAAGGAAGGAAGAAAAAAAGAAAAUUGUAUAAUCUUUCCUAAAGAAAUAAAACAUUACACUAUAUAUAUAUAUAUAUAUAUAGUUGAAUGGUUUAAUAAUAUAGAACAAAUUGAAUAUAUUUUUUUAAGAACGUGAAAAAAAAGUAUAAAUGAUAAACAUUUAUACGUUUUAAUUUAAAAAAAAUAAUAAAUAGGAAUAACUGCAAUGUUGUAUAAUAUAUUGUAAAUGUUCUAUUUUUGAACAUCAAAAUGUUUUUUUUCAUUUAUUUUUUUUUUUUGAUAUAUUUUUUUUUCGUUUUAGAAAUUUUUUUUAAAACAUAACUAUAAAACAAAAUAAUUAUAUAAUAUUUAUAUGUAAUAUGAGAAA